AAGUUCAAACCCAAGUGGGAAUACCCACACCAAAAGUGAUUUUGCUCAAACCAAUAGAAACUUUUUAAUUAGCUUAGUUUAUUCCAGCUCUUCUGUGUUUGGGGGUGUACAGAGUGGUGGUGGUAUGGCACUUGUUUUAACUGAUACAAAAUCAGCAGUAUUGAAAGUUAAGCAAUUUUUCUACAUGCUUUGUCUUCUAAGCAGAAUUUUUUAAUUAUUUAUAUGGCCCUGAUUUGCUAUCAGUGGGGGAAGUAUUCAGAGAUACCUCCUGUGAUCUUUUUCUGGAGAUGUCAUAUACACCUUCCAAAAAUAACCUAUUUUCAGCAACAGAUAAUUCAUCUACUGUUUCAAAGUAUAAUCUCAAGAUCUCAAUACUUUGUUUCAUUUCUUACUCAGUUAUGUCCAUAAUCCCUUAAUCUACUGCUAUACUUGCUUAUUCAUGUAUUCAUUGAACUGUACUGGGAAAUAACUUGUUGAAAAGAGAAGUUAUCACCAGUUAUUUUAUGAUGCAGUAUAAUUGCAGGGUAGUACCUGUAUAAUUGGGGAGGGAGAGGGAAAAGUAACUUGUCAAUUUUAUUGAAACUCAUCAGGAACUCAGCAUAAAACAGCCUAAAAGAUUUGAUUUCGAAGACCAGCCGAGUGCCUCUCCCCCAGAGUCUGCCCAGUUGAAGAAGUAACGAGCCACACUGACAACUGAAAGUCUUGGCCAGAGGAUCACUGUGCGGUGACAGGAUAUUCUGGCUGCAAACAUGGACUGGAGAAUAUUUUUCUUACUGUGUCAGACAGUACGGGAGAGGAGAUGCACAGUACUGUAGCUCUUCACUUAGUCCCGUGUGAGUAAUAUAAAUGUUUUCUGGUUUUCAUGUUGGAUCCUUAAGGAGGGGGAGCCUGGAGGAGGAGGAGAACAGCUGUGCAUCUGAACUGACUUCUGACGAAUCAGCACAUUUACCUUGGAUACCAUCCUGACCUUCAAAAUUCAGGGGAGAGCGAUCAGUCCUGACAAGAGGUCUCUUUAGGACUUUUAGAUUGUGUUUAUUCUCCCUCUCUUGUAUUUCAAUUACCUAAACGUUUAUAUAAUUCAAAAACUGAUUUCAGCACAGCAAAGAAAGCUAUAGACCAGAUGCUGUAUUUCCUUUGCUAUGUAGCCCAUAACUAACAGAACAACAAUUUCUUUAUUAUAGGGUGAAAGCAUAUCUAAGAAAUACGCUGUCAGUGGUGUCAAGAGGAAUGUGGCAUGCUGCACCGUUUCUGAGCAUUAAUACUUUCAUUUAUUUUCAAAUAGUUUGCAGAGCAGCCGACACCAGGCAUAUAGACUGUGCACAAUUAAUUCAAAUUGAAUAAAUGUCUGAAGGAGUUUUUGGAAUUACUGUACCAUUCAAACCCUGUACUGUCACUGUAAGGCAAAAGAAGAAACAUACGCUAUUAAAAUUUUUCUUAGAAGAGGCAGCUCACUCGCCUGUGCCCUGUUUGCACAGAACUUACUCUGGUAAAUUUAGGGUACGUGCUAUUCUGCAUAGCAGUGAAGCAUACCCUUAAGUCUCACUGAAAUAUACAAGAUGACAGGGAUUACAAGUCCUUCCUGAGGAGCCGGAACAGAACCCAUUAAGGUAUUGCAAGUCAUGCAAUUCAAUGGCCCUGAAAGUAUAAUUUGAUUGUAAUUCAGGAGGUUACUAAAAGGAAAUCCAUACUAGGCUGUAAGAUAAGCAAAAGCGAGAAGUGUAUUUACUAUGAGUGGUUAAAUGUGAGGUGUGUGAGUCCCUUAUCUCUUUUGUCUGCAGUUUAUCACCACUGAAGGCAAGUAAAAGGGGAAUAAUAUCUAGUUCACAAGAGAAGAUUAGAUUAAGCUUUCCCAAAGGUCUUAUGGGAGUUACUUCCAUUUCACUCUCGUCUGGAUUAGCUUAACUCCUUCAGGCUAUUUCUGAAUCUGUAAAGGAGAAGGUCUUGGUGCAUGGGAGGGAGAGGAGGAUGGCCAGGACAUUGUUUCUUCACGGAGGAAUUUGCCUUUGACUUCCGUAAAGGAAUUAGGAGACCUACAAAGUCCUACCUGAGUGCAGGAAUUCUUUUACUGUGGAGCUUUCUUUUUCAGAUUCCUUUUUGCUAUGCAAGCUUAUUGCUUUGUAAUGGGUGUCUCUUAUAGGUGUUUAUUAGAAUCAUUAUUUAUUGGAAAAAAACUGGGUGCUCUCAUAUCUUGCUGUGGUUGUACUCACUGCCCUUGUCUACAGCUCUAGGUACUUCAGCUCAGUUUACGCAUGUGAAAUAGCUAAUGAAAUAUUGGAGUGGACUUGAGGUGGUUGAGUUUAUGUACUAUGAUACUGAAUUUUUUUAAUGUUAUCUCUUUGUUAUUGUGUACAACCUUGGGACAAGCUCUUUCUAAAAUACACUUACGUGAAAGGUAGAUGCAAGAAGUGUAACACAGAGCAAGGUUCCCUUGGCUGCAGACAGGCAUGUGAGGGUGCCUAAUGUGCUGAAAGGGCAGUCUGUCCAAGGUGAAAGUAGAGGCAGCGACAUCGAGAGAGACCACGCAGACACCUACCAUGUACAUGCAAGAGACUGACACCACCAAAUAAAAAUUACUCAGAGAGAUAAUACAGAGCACCACGUGUUGGUGUUUCCAAUUACCUUAACUUUCAUUGUAUGAAUCCAUAACUUUCCCCUUCACUUUCAUUGUAGGAAUUGGGAAGAAAAGGCAGCCAGUCUUUCUCUGCAGAAUCCUACCUGGCUCACUGUGUGACUUGGAAAUAGCCCCAGGUUUUCUGUAUUUUGUUUCUGUGUGAGAAGGAAUUCUGCAGCAGCAGAGCACAGGGCAUGCUUGGUCCUGCUCUGGCCCAGGGAAAGGAUGUCACUGCUUCUGAUAUGGUGAAAUCCAGUCUCUGUCAGUGCCUCUGUUCCACCUGCAUUAUAUUAGUUUUAGUAGAAAUGAUGCAGUCUGGCUGCAAGAUGCUUCUCAAUCAUAAGUAUUAGUUUAGGCAGGGAGGGUUAUCCAAGCAAAGACUGAUUAUGCAGAGGACGUGAUUUUGUGCUUCAUGUGUGUUUGCAGCCCAGAAAGCCAACUGUAUCCUGGGCUGCAUCAAAAGAAGCGUGACAGCAGGUCGAGGGGGGUGAUUCUCCCCCUCUGCUCCGCUCUGUGAUAGCUUAAGCUAGAAGAAGUGAUCACAAAUAGACAUUCAUCACUUUCCAGCUAAUAGCAUGCUGUUUGCAAAUAGAACAGGAGAAAAACUCUGCAUCUCGGACACUCUGACAGAGUGAAACUGCAAGUGGAACAGCCUUCUCUUGGAAAUCCUGGGUAUUGUUUUUGCCUUAGCAUCAUCGGAUCGCUUCUUGUAUGCUAAUCAGCAGCUUCGCUGGCUCUGGACAGGCACCAGCUCUCCAAGAGGCCGUGGACAGAGUUACUUGCCUGCAGUAAAAUGGAGUCCCCGCAAGCCCUAAGCGUGUGUCCCACGAUUCACGCGCCUACCGACUCCCAGAUGCCGAGAUGCACCGCCGUGGGCAAAUAAAUACUGCCUGCGACCGCCGUCUCCUGUGAUUGCCUACUUGGAACGUGGCAGAGUGAAAAGCAGUCGCAUUAGCAGAAAUGCUAACUGAGAGCGAGUCAUCCAGCACAAGCCACUGUGUGUUUCUUCUCUGCCAUCUGCCGUGGUUGCCCUCUUCCCUGCCUACUCGUGGUAGAAGAAUUGUCUUUUUCUCCAUCCUGCUAAGCUUCCCAGACAACUGAUCCCCCUUGUGCCGCUGCCGGACCAGUGCCACGAGGCUGCUGAGAAGACGUGACCUGGAGGAGAUGGGUGUAAAUGCUGACCUCCCUGCAAGUUACCCACCCACUGACGCUUCGGUUUAGCUCCUCACUCAGAAAUCUCUCUUGAUUCUAAUAAAGAAACCAAAACAAAGGAUGCUAUUCAUACUUUGGUUUAACAAUCCAGCAUAGAAGAAAACAGCAUGACUCGAGCCAAGGAGAAGAGUAGAGAGAGUGAAUAGACAGCACAAAUCAGCAGUAAAGAAGCAGUCUGCUGCAGCACCUGUACAGAAAGCCCAAGGCCAGCGAGGGAAGUGGCAGAAAGAUUGCAGUGGGAAAUGGCAUGGGGAGCACCAUAUGCACCAAGCACCGAAAGGCUGAGAACAGCAUUUUAAGCUAUCCUAAAGAUGGGGAGAUGUCUCUGUCCUUGGGUGGAAGGGAGACUCACUAAAAGAAUAUAUGUGGGACAGCAGAAGACUGCCAGAAAUGAGUAUUCGUUUCCUCAACCCAAAAGAAGCUCUUCUGUGGGCUCUCUGCAGAGGACAGGACGCCAUCCCAGGAAUGGUGGGAGCUCGACACAGGACAAGUAGGUGAGUCCCUUUGUCCUUAGCAGGUAAAUAUAAAAAAGAACUACCAUGAAGAAAAGAAUUUAUAUGAAAAUUUCAUAAUCUAUCCAUUAGUUGGGCUAACAUUAUUUUGAUAACUUUUUGCUAAUCGUGAAUUUAAUAAUGAUCUCUUUCGCUCUAAAUCCAUCAAUCAUUAAUGCAGAGAUUUUCUGAAGGGCACAGGUAGCAGUGAAUUACCUUUUGUGGGAGGUAUCUUAGGAGUAAAUCAACAAAUUGAUUCCUAGUCUAAAAAAAUUGAUUAAUUUAUUAAGAUGAAGUUUUGAUCUUUGCUCCCUCAAAGUUUUGAUGAGCAUUAGUAGUAUUAGAAUUGCAGUUCCAGACAUCCAGAACAAUCUAUUAAGUUAAUAGGCAGUGAGAGUUUGAGAUUGAUUGCUAUAAUCACAGCAUGAAAGCUGAAAUUUGUUUUGUAGAUAUAGAUAACUGGGCCAGAUUCUGGCACAACUGCAGAGAUGUGUGUUACUACAAAACCUGUGUGCUUAAAUUCUGAUGAACUAAAAAGGAGAAUAAAAUGCUCUUCAAAAAGAGUGAGACUCUUAUAAUUUGACUCUAAUAAAAUAGUCCUAAAUUCUUCUUCACAAGCCCGUAUGAGUUUAGGCAAGCCUAAAUAAGUAUAGGAAGGCUAUUAACCUUGUAUUGGUUCUACAGCACAACCUACAUCAGCCCCUUGAGAAGCCACGAUGCACAGUAGCAUCAUGGUCUGUAUUGGAAUGAUAUAACUAAUGAAGACUCUGGAAUCUUCAAAUUGAAGCAGAGAGAAGUAGAAAGCUUUCUACUGCUGUGAAAUCCUCCUUCCCACCCCGUACCCACUGUACCAAAUCUCUUAGCGACCCGAGGGAUGCUCAGGGGGGUUCGGCGGGUGUUGCCCCAACCCUGCAGGCAGAGGCUGUGCCUGCUGAAGCAGCCCUGUAGCGGAUGGCCAAAAGCUCUCCAAAGACUGAUUAAAUUGCCAAGGUAAUGUAUUGAAGAAAGUGCACUUCAAUAAUUAAAUUGCUCUGAUGCUAUUGCUACAUUCUACAAUUUUUUUUCUUGCGCUCUUGCUUGUAUUUUGACUAUCCUUGAAGAAGUCCACGCUUCCAGAGCUUCCUUGCUCCCCGGAUUUUAUAGGUAAGCCCUCGACACUGUUCCUUUCUCUGUCUGUCAUCAUGAGACUCAAAGGGAGAGGGCUGUCUCCCAUGCAUUCGAAAGCCUGAUCCUGAGCCAUCGAGUGAGGCAGACGGUCCCAACGCACCCCCUCAGCUCAGAAAUCCUCUGGUCUGGUUUUAAACAUGGUGCAGUGGCUUAUCUGCUAAAUAAAAUCUAAAUGAGAAAUGUUGAUACUUAAUGAAAUAUAAGUUUGGGGAUUUCACAUAAGAAAGCUGCUGUCAGUGCUUUAAUUUAUUAGGGGAGAGUUAUGUGCAGAUGGUAUAUACAGAGUUAUUUCCUGACUGUACUCCAAAGUAAGUUGAUUUGUGGUUUAAUGACUUUUAUCAAAAUGAAAUAAGCAUUUGAUCUUUGGAUUUGAUCUGGCUAUAUCUGCAGCUGCUACACCACUACAGCAAUUACUUCCAAACUGGGCUUUUUGCCCAGGCAAAUGGAGUUCGUCCUUGUUUCAUGUCUCAUUGACUGUCCUGAUAAUACACACAGUGGUACUGUAGGUUUUUUCUUCCUCUAAAUUUGAUAGGUGUGAAAGUAAGAGAGUAAUUCGCUUUUUUUUAGUAUCAGUGUUGUUUCAUUAUAAUACAUUUGCUACCACUGGUUAAUUUUAUCUCGAAGCUGCUCCUAACUAAAAUUUAGUGUCAGAAUGUGUAAUUUUCUCUACAUAAUCCUGCUAUGCGCUUUUUAUAGAGAACCGAGAAAUUCAUUUAUGAAUUCUAAAUCUGGGAACCCUCGUGGUAAUCUUCACAUCUGUCUGUGUGGUUUAAGGAUGAAGUUGUAGUGAUACGUUGUACACCCACACUGGACUAAAUCCACUCCUAAUGUAUUUCCAUGGAAGGCAAUAGAGUUAUACUAGAAAUAAAUUUACCCCCUUGUAUCCAU
Harpia harpyja (harpy eagle) is the source of this 6369-nucleotide long non-coding RNA. RefSeq lists it as uncharacterized. The record is from RefSeq and is a predicted model, not a curated record. NCBI's taxonomy places the organism in Eukaryota, Metazoa, Chordata, Aves, Accipitriformes, Accipitridae. The transcript has 8 exons.